CAGCAGCCGCGGUAAUACGGGCAGCCCAAGUGUAUCCACGAAUACUGGGCUUAAAGCGUUCGUAGCUGGUUUGGUAAGUUUUCUGUGAAAGCCCAUGGCUUAACUGUGGGAAGUGCAGAAAAAACUGCCAGACUUGGAGGCGGGAGAGGUCAAGGGUACGUAUAGGGUAGCGGUGGAAAUUUUGUUUGUGAUUUAUUACAAACUUAACCAAAGUGCAGUAAUCCUAUACGGACCAUCUGUAGCGAAGGCGCUUGACUAGGACGCACUCGACAGUGAGGAACGAAAGCCAGGGGAGCGACAGGGAUUAGAUACCCCUUUAGUCCUGGCCGUAAAGGAUGCAAACUAGGUGUUGUGUAACCCUCGUGGUUGGGCAGUGCCGAAGGGAAACCGUUAAGUUUGCCGCCUGGGGAGUACGAUCGCAAGGUUGAAACUUAAAGGAAUUGGCGGGGGAGCACUACAACGAGUGGAUGCUGCGGUUUAAUUGGAUAAAACGCCGGAAAUCUCACCAGGGAAGACAGCAGGAUGAUAGUCAUUCUGAAGGGAUUACUUAACAAGCUGAGAGGUGGUGCAUGGCCAUCGUCAGCUCGUGCUGUGAAGUGUCCUCUUAAGUGAGGCAACGAGCGAGACCCACACCCUUAGUUACUAAGUGUAUUAUUACAAUGCACAGGACUCUAAGGGGACUGCUAGAGCUAAUCUAGAGGAAGGAGUGGGCAACGGUAGGUCAGUAUGCCCCUAAUUUCCUGGGCUACACGUGGCAUACAUUGGUAGGCACAAUGGGAUGCAACUCUGAAAGGAGAAGCUAAUCCCCCAAAACCGAUCUAAGUCUGGAUUGAGGGCUGAAACUCGCCCUCAUGAAAAUGGAAUUCGUAGUAGUCGCGUGUCACUAAAAACGCUGUGAGCAAACGCUUACACGUUUGUGGACUCGCGCGGCGAAUGUGUCCCUGCCCCUUGCACAC
Molecule: ribosomal RNA, 956 nt
Filed under: uncultured archaeon
Lineage: Archaea
Description: bacterial SSU rRNA
Rfam family: Archaeal small subunit ribosomal RNA
Source: RNAcentral